Molecule: long non-coding RNA, 1203 nt
Organism: Hirundo rustica (Barn swallow)
Lineage: Eukaryota; Metazoa; Chordata; Aves; Passeriformes; Hirundinidae
Exons: 4
Source: RefSeq, a predicted model, not a curated record
CUAAUUUCAAGAGUCUUUGUUAGAGGACUAGAGCUUGAAAGUGUUGCUUUAUCACAGAUGUGAAAGCACUUAGCUGGGGAGAUCAUGAAAUGAGUAUCCUUGCUUGUAUUAUUCAAAUGCAAAAGAAAAAUGCAGAUCACAAUGAAAGGAGGCACCAACAUGGGAAUAAUUUUUCCUUUAAAUUGGAAGAUACAGUGGAUUAUGCCACAAAUGAAAUAAAUUUCACAGGAGAAGAAAACAAAUAUUACGGCUCUGGAAUCACAGUGACGUUAGCAGGAAUGUGACUGAUAUAAGGCAGCAAGUUGUCCCAAUAACUCAAACAAAAUAGGCUCAUUUUUAGAUUAAAUUCCUCCUGUGUCAGGCUCCCACCACUGUGUGUUACUGUGUCUUUAGUGAAGGAUCCAAUCAUUAGUUACUACAAAUCUGACCCAAGUAUCAUGCAGCCUGUGUAGAAUCCAGAGUGAUGAACUGAAGCAUUCCAUCCUCUUUUGAGCAUACAAGCAGUGAUGUGUGGCACCAAAUGGUUGGCGUGGCUGUUCAGCACUGUGGACCCCAGAACACACGGAGUUGGAAGGGACCUACAAGGAUGACAGAAGCACAGAACUGUCAGGGCUGGAAGGGACCUCAGGAGAUUACCCAGUCCAACACCCCUGCCUAGAAAGGGUCACGUGGAGCAAGUGAAACAGGGACACAUCCAGGAUGCAACAGAUCUUAAGGGUGUGGAAAAUCAGGCUGCAAAAAACCAGUGUCCCCGAAGGAGACAGCAGAGACCUGCAAGAAUCAAUUUUAUUGGAAUAAAGGGAGCGAGCCCACUGAGCAACACCCCGCUGGGGCCUCUCCCGAGUUUCUGGAGCACACAUAUUCCCUUAAUCCUAAAUCCCCGGCCGCCAUGUUGCCUUCUGUCCUUUCCCCAGCGGCUGAGGCACUAGGAAGGUACAGCCUUCUGCACAUUUCCACCUGAACACGUAUUCUCCCCGCAUCGUGCAUCGCACGACCAUUAAAAUUAGCUUUAAGAGCCCCCUGGACAACGAAGUGAGUAUCUGUAAGUCCACUGAGCCUACACAAUUUUCCUAAAGUUCAAAAGCUCGGACUGUGCUGUGUUCUGCAACAAACGUGACCCGCACGCGCAGAACCCGACGGGUGCGUUCAGACCGAGCCGCUUGUGAGGGCACUCAGAGCCCUUUCUCCCUCAUGAGGGAAGCA